GACGAACGCUGGCGGCGUGCUUAACACAUGCAAGUCGAACGGAAAGGCCCUGCUUUUGUGGGGUGCUCGAGUGGCGAACGGGUGAGUAACACGUGAGUAACCUGCCCUUGACUUUGGGAUAACUUCAGGAAACUGGGGCUAAUACCGGAUAGGAGCUCCUGCUGCAUGGUGGGGGUUGGAAAGUUUCGGCGGUUGGGGAUGGACUCGCGGCUUAUCAGCUUGUUGGUGGGGUAGUGGCUUACCAAGGCUUUGACGGGUAGCCGGCCUGAGAGGGUGACCGGCCACAAUGGGACUGAGAUACGGCCCAGACGGCUACGGGAGGCAGCAGUGGGGAAUAUUGCACAAUGGGCGGAAGCCUGAUGUAGCAACGCCGCGUGCGGGAUGACGGCCUUCGGGUUGUAAACCGCUUUCGCCUGUGACGAAGCGUGAGUGACGGUAAUGGGUAAAGAAGCACCGGCUAACUACGUG
RNAcentral lists this ribosomal RNA (468 nucleotides) under uncultured bacterium. RNAcentral describes it as "partial 16S ribosomal RNA". It matches the Rfam family "Bacterial small subunit ribosomal RNA", at positions 28 to 507 of the family's 1533-position model. The record is from RNAcentral.